CGUAGUCGGAUUUCGGGGCGGGCCUGCCGGUCUGCCGAUGGGUAUGCACUGGUGGGCGCGUCCUUCCUUCCGGAGACCGUGCCUACUCUUAACUGAGCGGGGGCGGGAGACGGAUCGUUUACUUUGAAAAAAUCAGAGUGUUUCAAGCAGACUCGCGUCUUUGCAUGGAUUAGCAUGGGAUAAUGAAAUAGGACUUUGGUGCUAUUUUGUUGGUUUCGAACACCGAAGUAAUGAUUAAAAGGGACAGUCAGGGGCACUCGUAUUCCGUCGAGAGAGGUGAAAUUCUCAGACCAACGGAAGACGAACUACUGCGAAAGCAUUUGCCAGGGAUGUUUUCACUGAUCAAGAACGAAAGUUAGGGGAUCGAAGACGAUCAGAUACCGUCGUAGUCUUAACCAUAAACAAUGCCGACUAGGGAUUGGAGGAUGUUCAUUAUUGACUCCUUCAGCACCUUACGGGAAACUAAAGUCUUUGGGUUCCGGGGGGAGUAUGGUCGCAAGGCUGAAACUUAAAGGAAUUGACGGAAGGGCACCACCAGGAGUGGAGCCUGCGGCUUAAUUUGACUCAACACGGGGAAACUUACCAGGUCCAGACAUUGUGAGGAUUGACAGAUUGAGAGCUCUUUCUUGAUUCGAUGGGUGGUGGUGCAUGGGCCGUUCUUAGUUGGGUGGGAGUGAUUUGUCUGGUUAAUUCCGUUAACGAA
This 703-nucleotide ribosomal RNA is filed under the name uncultured eukaryote. RNAcentral describes it as "SSU rRNA". It matches the Rfam family "Eukaryotic small subunit ribosomal RNA", at positions 629 to 1335 of the family's 1831-position model. The record is from RNAcentral.